UACGGAGGGUGCGAGCGUUAAUCGGAAUUACUGGGCGUAAAGCGUGCGUAGGUGGUGAUUUAAGUCAGAUGUGAAAGCCCUGGGCUUAACCUGGGAACGGCAUUUGAUACUGGGUCGCUAGAGUUUGGGAGAGGUAAGUGGAAUUUCAGGUGUAGCGGUGAAAUGCGUAGAUAUCUGAAGGAACACCAGUGGCGAAGGCGACUUACUGGCCUAAAACUGACGCUGAGGCACGAAAGCAUGGGGAGCAAACAGG
RNAcentral lists this ribosomal RNA (253 nucleotides) under uncultured bacterium. Its description in RNAcentral is "partial 16S ribosomal RNA". It matches the Rfam family "Bacterial small subunit ribosomal RNA", at positions 524 to 776 of the family's 1533-position model. The record is from RNAcentral.